Molecule: ribosomal RNA, 442 nt
Filed under: uncultured bacterium
Lineage: Bacteria
Description: partial 16S ribosomal RNA
Rfam family: Bacterial small subunit ribosomal RNA
Source: RNAcentral
CCUACGGGGUGCAGCAGUAGGGAAUCUUUCACAAUGGGCGAAAGCCUGAUGGAGCAACGCCGCGUGCAGGAUGAAGGCCUUCGGGUUGUAAACUGCUUUUAUAAGCGAGAAAUAUGAUGGUAACUUAUGAAUAAGGAUCGGCUAACUACGUGCCAGCAGCCGCGGUCAUACGUAGGAUCCGAGCAUUAUCCGGAGUGACUGGGUGUAAAGAGUUGCGUAGGUGGCAUAAUAAGUAGCUAGUGAAAUCUGGUGGCUAAACCAUUCAGACUAUUAGGUAAACUGUUAAGCUCGAGACCGUUAGGGGUAACUGGAAGUUCUAGUGUAGGAGUGAAAUCCGUAGAUAUUAGAAGGAACACCAAUAGCGUAGGCAGGUUGCUGGGACGGUUCUGACACUAAGGCACGAAAGCGUAGGGAGCAAACGGGAUUAGAUACCCCAGUAGUC